This 1212-nucleotide ribosomal RNA is filed under the name uncultured fungus. RNAcentral describes it as "eukaryotic LSU rRNA". The stretch from base 596 to 1212 matches the Rfam family "Eukaryotic large subunit ribosomal RNA", at positions 1 to 633 of the family's 3401-position model. Lineage: Eukaryota; Fungi. The record is from RNAcentral.
AUUAUUGAAUAAACUUGAACAAGCUGAUUUUGCUGGCUUCUUUAGAGGCAUGUGCACGCUUGUCAUCUUUAUCUUUCCAACUGUGCACUUUUUGUAGAUCUUGGGGAAGUUUGAAUUAUUUUGAAUAGAUUGAGGACUGCUGUACUUUUCAGCUUUACCUUGUAUUUCCAGAUCUAUGUUUUUAUUAUAAACCUUUUGAUAUGUCUAGAAUGUUACAACGAGUUGAUAAAAUAAUUUAUACAACUUUCAGCAACGGAUCUCUUGGCUCUUGCAUCGAUGAAGAACGCAGCGAAAUGCGAUAAGUAAUGUGAAUUGCAGAAUUCAGUGAAUCAUCGAAUCUUUGAACGCAUCUUGCGCUCUUUGGUAUUCCAAGGAGCAUGCCUGUUUGAGUGUCAUUAAGUUCUCAACCAUAUUAAAUUCUUUUAAUGUGGCUUGGUUGUUGGAAGCUUGCAGGUCAUUUUAUAUAGAUCUGCUCUUCUAAAAUGGAUUAGUGGUAUCUGAGCAGACACUACUACAGAUGUGAUAAUUAUCAUUUACAUCUUAGUCAUGCUGCAAUAGUAGAUUAUACUGCUUCUAACACACAUUAUGAUAUAUUUGACCUCAAAUCAGGUAGGACUACCCGCUGAACUUAAGCAUAUCAAUAAGCGGAGGAAAAGAAACUAACAAGGAUUCCCUUAGUAACUGCGAGUGAAGUGGGAAAAGCUCAAAUUUGAAAUCUGGCAGCUUUUAACUGUCCGAGUUGUAAUCUAGAGAAGUGUUACCUGUCCUGGACCAUGUACAAGUCUUCUGGAAUGGAGUAUCAUAGAGGGUGAGAAUCCCGUCUUUGACAUGGACUACCAGUGCAUUAUGGUGUGCUCUCAAAGAGUCGAGUUGUUUGGGAAUGCAGCUCAAAAUGGGUGGUAAAUGCCAUCUAAAGCUAAAUAUUGGCAAGAGACCGAUAGUGAACAAGUACCGUGAGGGAAAGAUGAAAAGAACUUUGGAAAGAGAGUUAAACAGUACGUGAAAUUGCUGAAAGGGAAACGCUUGAAGUCAGUCACAUUGGCUAGAAAUCAGCCUUGCUUUUGCUGGGUGUAUUUUCUUGUCGAUGGGUCAGCAUCAAUUUUGACUGCUGGAUAAAUUCUUUGGGAAUGUGGCAUCUUUGGAUGUGUUAUAGCCCAUAGUUGUAUACAGUGGUUGGGAUUGAGGAACUCAGCAUGCCGCAAGGCUGGGUAU